GCUGGCGGCGUGCUUAACACAUGCAAGUCGAGUGCGCGUCUGUAGCAAUACAGAUGGCGCACGGCGCACGGGUGCGUAACACGUGGGUAAUCUGCCCUUCGAUGGGGAAUAACUUCGGGAAACCGAAGCUAAUUCCGCAUGACAUUCCUUGAACCUCGGUUUGGGGACUCAAAGCCGUAAGGCGUCGGAGGAGGAACCCGCGCACGAUUAGCUAGUUGGUAGGGUAACGGCCUACCAAGGCUUUGAUCGUUAGCUGGUCUGAGAGGAUGGCCAGCCACACUGGAACUGAGACACGGUCCAGACUCCUACGGGAGGCAGCAGUGGGGAAUCUUGCACAAUGGGCGAAAGCCUGAUGCAGCGACGCCGCGUGGGGGAUGAAGCUUUUCGGAGUGUAAACCCCUUUCGACCCGGACGAAUGCCCCGCAAGGGGGCUGACGGUACGGGUAUAAGAAGCCCCGGCUAACUACGUGCCAGCAGCCGCGGUAAGACGUGGGGGGCCAGCGUUGCUCGGAAUUACU
Molecule: ribosomal RNA, 518 nt
Filed under: uncultured soil bacterium
Lineage: Bacteria
Description: bacterial SSU rRNA
Rfam family: Bacterial small subunit ribosomal RNA
Source: RNAcentral